UACGUAGGUGGCAAGCGUUGUUCGGAUUCAUUGGGCGUAAAGGGUGCGUAGGUGGUGCUGUAAGUCAGGGGUGAAAUCCUGGAGCUCAACUCCAGAACUGCCUUUGAUACUGGGAAGCUCGAGUCCGGAAGAGGUGAGUGGAACUCCGAGUGUAGAGGUGAAAUUCGUAGAUAUUCGGAAGAACACCAGUGGCGAAGGCGGCUCACUGGUCCGGUACUGACGCUGAGGUGCGAAAGCGUGGGGAGCAAACAGG
Molecule: ribosomal RNA, 253 nt
Filed under: uncultured prokaryote
Description: partial 16S ribosomal RNA
Rfam family: Bacterial small subunit ribosomal RNA
Source: RNAcentral